UACGGAGGGUGCAAGCGUUGUUCGGAAUUAUUGGGCGUAAAGGGCAGGUAGGUGGUCUUAUAAGUCUACUGUGAAAUCCCCGAGCUUAACUCGGGAAGUGCGGUGGAUACUGUAAGACUAGAGUGCCGGAGGGGUUCGUGGAAUUCCUGGUGUAGCGGUGAAAUGCGUAGAUAUCAGGAGGAACACCAGAGGCGAAGGCGGCGAACUGGACGGCAACUGACACUCAACUGCGAAAGCGUGGGGAGCAAACAGG
RNAcentral lists this ribosomal RNA (253 nucleotides) under uncultured bacterium. RNAcentral's name for it is "partial 16S ribosomal RNA". It matches the Rfam family "Bacterial small subunit ribosomal RNA", at positions 524 to 776 of the family's 1533-position model. The record is from RNAcentral.